Molecule: ribosomal RNA, 527 nt
Filed under: uncultured bacterium
Lineage: Bacteria
Description: bacterial SSU rRNA
Rfam family: Bacterial small subunit ribosomal RNA
Source: RNAcentral
AAUAGAUACCCAGGUAGUCCACGCCGUAAACGAUGAGUGCUAAGUGUUAGGGGGUUUCCGCCCCUUAGUGCUGCAGCUAACGCAUUAAGCACUCCGCCUGGGGAGUACGGCCGCAAGGCUGAAACUCAAAGGAAUUGACGGGGGCCCGCACAAGCGGUGGAGCAUGUGGUUUAAUUCGAAGCAACGCGAAGAACCUUACCAGGUCUUGACAUCUCCUGACCGCCCUGGAGACAGGGUCUUCCCUUCGGGGACAGGAUGACAGGUGGUGCAUGGUUGUCGUCAGCUCGUGUCGUGAGAUGUUGGGUUAAGUCCCGCAACGAGCGCAACCCUUGUCCUUAGUUGCCAGCAUUCAGUUGGGCACUCUAAGGAGACUGCCGGCUAAAAGUCGGAGGAAGGUGGGGAUGACGUCAAAUCAUCAUGCCCCUUAUGACCUGGGCUACACACGUGCUACAAUGGGCGGUACAGAGGGUCGCGAACCCGCGAGGGGGAGCCAAUCCCAAAAAACCGCUCUCAGUUCGGAUUGCAGG